GGCGGCGUGCUUAACACAUGCAAGUCGAGCGGAAAGGCCCUUCGGGGUACUCGAGCGGCGAACGGGUGAGUAACACGUGAGCAACCUGCCCCAGGCUUUGGGAUAACCCCGGGAAACCGGGGCUAAUACCGAAUAUGACCUCCGAUCGCAUGGUUGGUGGUGGAAAGUUUUUCGGCUUGGGAUGGGCUCGCGGCCUAUCAGCUUGUUGGUGGGGUGAUGGCCUACCAAGGCGACGACGGGUAGCCGGCCUGAGAGGGCGACCGGCCACACUGGGACUGAGACACGGCCCAGACUCCUACGGGAGGCAGCAGUGGGGAAUAUUGCACAAUGGGCGGAAGCCUGAUGCAGCGACGCCGCGUGAGGGAUGACGGCCUUCGGGUUGUAAACCUCUUUCAGCAGGGACGAAGCGUAAGUGACGGUACCUGCAGAAGAAGCGCCGGCCAACUACGUGCCAGCAGCCGCGGUAAGACGUAGGGCGCGAGCGUUGUCCGGAUUUAUUGGGCGUAAAGAGCUCGUAGGCGGCUUGUCGCGUCGACUGUGAAAACCCGCAGCUCAACUGCGGGCCUGCAGUCGAUACGGGCAGGCUAGAGUUCGGUAGGGGAGACUGGAAUUCCUGGUGUAGCGGUGAAAUGCGCAGAUAUCAGGAGGAACACCGGUGGCGAAGGCGGGUCUCUGGGCCGAUACUGACGCUGAGGAGCGAAAGCGUGGGGAGCGAACAGGAUUAGAUACCCUGGUAGUCCACGCUGUAAACGUUGGGCGCUAGGUGUGGGGGGCCUCUCCGGUUCCCUGUGCCGCAGCUAACGCAUUAAGCGCCCCGC
Molecule: ribosomal RNA, 818 nt
Filed under: Micromonospora sp.
Lineage: Bacteria; Bacillati; Actinomycetota; Actinomycetes; Micromonosporales; Micromonosporaceae
Description: bacterial SSU rRNA
Rfam family: Bacterial small subunit ribosomal RNA
Source: RNAcentral